AGAACACUUAGCUUUCAGACAAAAAAAAAAAAGGCAAGAGAAAACUUUGCUCUGUUCAACCAAACCCUCUCUCACUCACUCUCUCUGUCAUCUCUGUAACCUAGAGAGAUGACGUGAAGCCACACCCAAUGCCGCUCAUCUUUACAUCCCAUUCUCUCACUCACACUCUGUCUCUCUGCUCAACCCCAAAUCUAACCCAUCCACCAACCCACUAUCAAAACCCACUCCUCCUUUUGUCCCUAAGGUCAAGUGAAAAUCCAGUCCCAAGCUUUCAUAAUUUGUGUUCAGCUUGUUUAUUGUCAGUCAAUGAGCAGAAUUUGAAGAAGGUCCUCAAAAUCGUUUGCGCACAAAGAAGGGCCUGAUUUGGAUUCGAGUUCUUAUUGAGUUGGUCCUGAUUCAGAGCUUAUUUGGGACUGGUUUAUUAAAAGGUUGUUGAAUUAUUUGCUUAAGAGGUACUUUUUUAAUUUAUGCAGUUUUGCUGUUGGUGGAUUUGUAAUUAAGGUUUUGUGGGUUAUGAAAAUUUACAAAUUUUGCUUGAUUUGUAUGAUUGCAUAUGAUUUUGGUUGUUGAAUUGCAUAUAAUUUUUGUUUUUUUUUUAAUUUCCAUAUUAUUUUUAUAGCAAUAAAUGAUAUAAAAAUUCUAAAUACAUAUUUAGUAAUUGAACAGAUUCAGUACUUUGGAAAA
This is a non-coding RNA of Prunus avium (sweet cherry), 684 nucleotides long. Lineage: Eukaryota; Viridiplantae; Streptophyta; Magnoliopsida; Rosales; Rosaceae. The record is from RefSeq and is a predicted model, not a curated record.